AACGAACGCUGGCGGCAGGCCUAACACAUGCAAGUCGACGCUGUAGCAAUACAGAGUGGCAGACGGGUGAGUAACGCGUGGGAACCUUCCCAGUGGUGCGGAAUAGCUCAGGGAAACUUGAGGUAAUACCGCAUAAGCCCCUAGGGGAAGAUUAUCGCCAUUGGAUGGGCCCGCGUCGGAUUAGCUAGUUGGUGAGGUAAUGGCUCACCAAGGCAACGAUCCGAGCUGGUUUGAGAGAAUGACCAGCCACACUGGGACUGAGACACGGCCCAGACUCCUACGGGAGGCAGCGAGUGGGGAAUCUUGGACAAUGGGCGCAAGCCUGAUCCAGCCAUGCCGCGUGAGUGACGAAGG
RNAcentral lists this ribosomal RNA (354 nucleotides) under uncultured bacterium. RNAcentral's name for it is "bacterial SSU rRNA". It matches the Rfam family "Bacterial small subunit ribosomal RNA", at positions 29 to 414 of the family's 1533-position model. The record is from RNAcentral.